AUUGAACGCUGGCGGCAGGCCUAACACAUGCAAGUCGAACGGUAACAGGAAGCAGCUUGCUGCUUUGCUGACGAGUGGCGGACGGGUGAGUAAUGUCUGGGAAACUGCCCGAUGGAGGGGGAUAACUACUGGAAACGGUAGCUAAUACCGCAUAACGUCGCAAGACCAAAGAGGGGGACCUUAGGGCCUCUUGCCAUCGGAUGUGCCCAGAUGGGAUUAGCUAGUAGGUGGGGUAACGGCUCACCUAGGCGACGAUCCCUAGCUGGUCUGAGAGGAUGACCAGCCACACUGGAACUGAGACACGGGCCAGACUCCUACGGGAGGCAGCAGUGGGGAAUAUUGCACAAUGGGCGCAAGCCUGAUGCAGCCAUGCCGCGUGUAUGAAGAAGGCCUUCGGGUUGUAAAGUACUUUCAGCGGGGAGGAAGGGAGUAAAGUUAAUACCUUUGCUCAUUGACGUUACCCGCAGAAGAAGCACCGGCUAACUCCGU
RNAcentral lists this ribosomal RNA (489 nucleotides) under uncultured bacterium. RNAcentral describes it as "partial 16S ribosomal RNA". It matches the Rfam family "Bacterial small subunit ribosomal RNA", at positions 30 to 506 of the family's 1533-position model. The record is from RNAcentral.